RNAcentral lists this ribosomal RNA (576 nucleotides) under uncultured bacterium. RNAcentral describes it as "bacterial SSU rRNA". It matches the Rfam family "Bacterial small subunit ribosomal RNA", at positions 102 to 674 of the family's 1533-position model. The record is from RNAcentral.
ACGGGUGAGUAAUACGUAGGAAUCUGCCCUAGAGUGGGGGAUAACCCGAGGAAACUCGGGCUAAUACCGCAUAAUCUCUGAGGAGCAAAGCCGGGGACCUUCGGGCCUGGCGCUUUAGGAUGAGCCUACGUCGGAUUAGCUAGUUGGUAGGGUAAAGGCCUACCAAGGCAACGAUCCGUAGCUGGUCUGAGAGGAUGAUCAGCCACACUGGGACUGAGACACGGCCCAGACUCCUACGGGAGGCAGCAGUGGGGAAUAUUGGACAAUGGGCGCAAGCCUGAUCCAGCAAUGCCGCGUGUGUGAAGAAGGCCUUCGGGUUGUAAAGCACUUUUAGCGAGGAGGAAAGGCUUAGGGUUAAUACCCCUGAGAGUUGACGUUACUCGCAGAAAAAGCACCGGCAAACUCUGUGCCAGCAGCCGCGGUAAUACAGAGGGUGCAAGCGUUAAUCGGAAUUACUGGGCGUAAAGCGCACGUAGGCGGAUAUUUAAGUCGGGUGUGAAAUCCCCGGGCUCAACCUGGGAACUGCAUCCGAUACUGAAUGUCUAGAGUAUGAUAGAGGAAAGUGGAAUUCCCGGU